CAGCCGCCGCGGGAAAACGGAGGGAGCUAGCGUUGUUCGGAAUUACUGGGCGUAAAGCGCGCGUAGGCGGUUACUCAAGUCAGAGGUGAAAGCCCGGGGCUCAACCCCGGAACUGCCUUUGAAACUAGGUGACUAGAAUCUUGGAGAGGUCAGUGGAAUUCCGAGUGUAGAGGUGAAAUUCGUAGAUAUUCGGAAGAACACCAGUGACGAAGGCGACUGACUGGACAAGUAUUGACGCUGAGGUGCGAAAGCGUGGGGAGCAAACAGGAUUAGAGACCCCAGUAGUCCCUGUCUCUUAUAC
RNAcentral lists this ribosomal RNA (301 nucleotides) under uncultured bacterium. RNAcentral's name for it is "partial 16S ribosomal RNA". It matches the Rfam family "Bacterial small subunit ribosomal RNA", at positions 509 to 807 of the family's 1533-position model. The record is from RNAcentral.